RNAcentral lists this ribosomal RNA (429 nucleotides) under Bacillota bacterium. RNAcentral's name for it is "Firmicutes bacterium partial 16S ribosomal RNA". It matches the Rfam family "Bacterial small subunit ribosomal RNA", at positions 355 to 776 of the family's 1533-position model. Lineage: Bacteria; Bacillati; Bacillota. The record is from RNAcentral.
UAGGGAAUCUUCGGCAAUGGACGGAAGUCUGACCGAGCAACGCCGCGUGAGUGAAGAAGGUUUUCGGAUCGUAAAGCUCUGUUGUUAGAGAAGAACGUUGGUAGGAGUGGAAAAUCUACCAAGUGACGGUAACUAACCAGAAAGGGACGGCUAACUACGUGCCAGCAGCCGCGGUAAUACGUAGGUCCCGAGCGUUGUCCGGAUUUAUUGGGCGUAAAGCGAGCGCAGGCGGUUCUUUAAGUCUGAAGUUAAAGGCAGUGGCUUAACCAUUGUACGGGUUGGAAACUGGAGGAGUUGAGUGCAGAAGGUGAGAGUGGAACUCCAUGUGUAGCGGUGAAAUGCGUAGAUAUAUGGAGGAACACCGGUGGCGAAAGCGGCUAUCUGGGCUGUAACUGACGCUGAGGCUCGAAAGCGUGGGGAGCAAACAGG